RNAcentral lists this ribosomal RNA (733 nucleotides) under Hylarana nigrovittata (black-striped frog). RNAcentral's name for it is "Sylvirana nigrovittata (black-striped frog) partial 16S ribosomal RNA". It matches the Rfam family "Bacterial large subunit ribosomal RNA", at positions 1273 to 2535 of the family's 2925-position model. Lineage: Eukaryota; Metazoa; Chordata; Amphibia; Anura; Ranidae. The record is from RNAcentral.
UUAUACCUUUAUAAAAAAUAUUAUGCUAGAACUAGUAACAAGAACUUGAUUUUCUCCAAAAUGUAAGCAUAAGCCAAAACGGACUAUCCAUUAGCACUUAACGUAAAUGCCUUCACUAUAGCAACAAACCUCUAGAAAACCCUAUAAUCUUGCACGUUACCCUAACACCAGAACAUUUAAGGAAAGAUUAAAAGAGAAAGAAGGAACUCGGCAAAUUUUAGCCCCGCCUGUUUACCAAAAACAUCGCCUCUUGACAAAACAUAAGAGGUCCAGCCUGCCCAGUGACAAACUUUAACGGCCGCGGUACCCUAACCGUGCGAAGGUAGCAUAAUCACUUGUUCUUUAAAUAGGGACUAGUAUCAACGGCAUCACGAGGGCUAUACUGUCUCCUUUCUCCAAUCAGUGAAACUGAUCUCCCCGUGAAGAAGCGGGGAUUCAACUAUAAGACGAGAAGACCCCAUGGAGCUUUAAGCAAUGUAUUCACCCCGCACCUUUACAUCAACUAAAUAAAAAGACCUGAAUACUAGCUUUAGGUUGGGGGGACCACGGAGUAUAACAUAACCUCCAUGACAAACGGGCUACGCCCUUAUCCACGAGCUACAACUCUAAGAAUCAAUAAACUGAUGUUUUAUGACCCGAUAAUUCGAUCAACGAACCAAGUUACCCUGGGGAUAACAGCGCAAUCUACUUCAAGAGCCCAUAUCGACAAGUAGGUUUACGACCUCGAUGUUGG